ACCGUUUUGAGUAACACGUGGGUAACCUGCCUGUAAGACUGGGAUAACUCCGGGAAACCGGGGCUAAUACCGGAUGGUUGUUUGAACCGCAUGGUUCAAACAUAAAAGGUGGCUUCGGCUACCACUUACAGAUGGACCCGCGGCGCAUUAGCUAGUUGGUGAGGUAACGGCUCACCAAGGCAACGAUGCGUAGCCGACCUGAGAGGGUGAUCGGCCACACUGGGACUGAGACACGGCCCAGACUCCUACGGGAGGCAGCAGUAGGGAAUCUUCCGCAAUGGACGAAAGUCUGACGGAGCAACGCCGCGUGAGUGAUGAAGGUUUUCGGAUCGUAAAGCUCUGUUGUUAGGGAAGAACAAGUACCGUUCGAAUAGGGCGGUACCUUGACGGUACCUAACCAGAAAGCCACGGCUAACUACGUGCCAGCAGCCGCGGUAAUACGUAGGUGGCAAGCGUUGUCCGGAAUUAUUAGGGCGUAAAGGGCUCGCAGGCGGUUUCUUAAGUCUGAUGUGAAAGCCCCCGGCUCAACCGGGGAGGGUCAUUGGAAACUGGGGAACUUGAGUGCAGAAGAGGAGAGUGGAAUUCCCACGUGUAGCGGUGAAAUGCGUGAGAUGUGGAGGAACACCAGUGGCGAAGGCGACUCUCUGGUCUGUAACUGACGCUGAGGAGCGAAAGCGUGGGGAGCGAACAGGAUACAGGAUUAGAUACCCUGGUAGUCCACGCCGUAAACGAUGAGUGCUAAGUGUUAGGGGGUUUCCGCCCCUUAGUGCCUGCAGCUAACGCAUUAAGCACUCCGCCUGGGGAGUACGCAGCU
Molecule: ribosomal RNA, 814 nt
Filed under: Bacillus sp. (in: firmicutes)
Lineage: Bacteria; Bacillati; Bacillota; Bacilli; Caryophanales; Bacillaceae
Description: bacterial SSU rRNA
Rfam family: Bacterial small subunit ribosomal RNA
Source: RNAcentral